RNAcentral lists this ribosomal RNA (468 nucleotides) under uncultured bacterium. RNAcentral's name for it is "partial 16S ribosomal RNA". It matches the Rfam family "Bacterial small subunit ribosomal RNA", at positions 28 to 507 of the family's 1533-position model. The record is from RNAcentral.
GACGAACGCUGGCGGCGUGCUUAACACAUGCAAGUCGAACGGAAAGGCCCUGCUUUUGUGGGGUGCUCGAGUGGCGAACGGGUGAGUAACACGUGAGUAACCUGCCCUUGACUUUGGGAUAACUUCAGGAAACUGGGGUAAUUACCGGAAAGGAGCUCCGCCGGAAUGGGGGGGGUGGGAAAGUUUCGGCGGUUGGGGAUGGACUCGCGGCUUAUCAGCUUGUUGGUGGGGUAGUGGCUUACCAAGGCUUUGACGGGUAGCCGGCCUGAGAGGGUGACCGGCCACAUUGGGACUGAGAUACGGCCCAGACUCCUACGGGGGGCAGCAGUGGGGAAUAUUGCACAAUGGGCGGAAGCCUGAUGCAGCAACGCCGCGUGCGGGAUGACGGCCUUCGGGUUGUAAACCGCUUUCGCCUGUGACGAAGCGUGAGUGACGGUAAUGGGUAAAGAAGCACCGGCUAACUACGUG